AUCCGGGUUGCGGACAGUGUCUGGUGGGUAGUUUGACUGGGGCGGUCUCCUCCUAAAGAGUAACGGAGGAGCACGAAGGUUGGCUAAUCCUGGUCGGACAUCAGGAGGUUAGUGCAAUGGCAUAAGCCAGCUUGACUGCGAGCGUGACGGCGCGAGCAGGUGCGAAAGCAGGUCAUAGUGAUCCGGUGGUUCUGAAUGGAAGGGCCAUCGCUCAACGGAUAAAAGGUACUCCGGGGAUAACAGGCUGAUACCGCCCAAGAGUUCAUAUCGACGGCGGUGUUUGGCACCUCGAUGUCGGCUCAUCACAUCCUGGGGCUGAAGUAGGUCCCAAGGGUAUGGCUGUUCGCCAUUUAAAGUGGUACGCGAGCUGGGUUUAGAACGUCGUGAGACAGUUCGGUCCCUAUCUGCCGUGGGCGCUGGAGAACUGAGGGGGGCUGCUCCUAGUACGAGAGGACCGGAGUGGACGCAUCACUGGUGUUCGGGUUGUCAUGCCAAUGGCACUGCCCGGUAGCUAAAUGCGGAAGAGAUAAGUGCUGAAAGCAUCUAAGCACGAAACUUGCCCCGAGAUGAGUUCUCCCUGAGACUUAG
Molecule: ribosomal RNA, 588 nt
Filed under: Salmonella enterica
Lineage: Bacteria; Pseudomonadati; Pseudomonadota; Gammaproteobacteria; Enterobacterales; Enterobacteriaceae
Also listed under: 8 other names
Description: partial 23S ribosomal RNA
Rfam family: Bacterial large subunit ribosomal RNA
Source: RNAcentral